Molecule: ribosomal RNA, 465 nt
Filed under: uncultured bacterium
Lineage: Bacteria
Description: partial 16S ribosomal RNA
Rfam family: Bacterial small subunit ribosomal RNA
Source: RNAcentral
GACGAACGCUGGCGGCGUGCUUAACACAUGCAAGUCGAACGGAAAGGCCCCUUUGGGGGUACUCGAGUGGCGAACGGGUGAGUAACACGUGAGUAACCUGCCCUUGACUUCGGGAUAACUUCAGGAAACUGGGGCUAAUACCGGAUAGGAAUCCUUGCUGCAUGGUGGGGGUUGGAAAGCUUCGGCGGUUUUGGAUGGACUCGCGGCUUAUCAGCUUGUUGGUGGGGUAGUGGCUUACCAAGGCUUUGACGGGUAGCCGGCCUGAGAGGGCGACCGGCCACAUUGGGACUGAGAUACGGCCCAGACUCCUACGGGAGGCAGCAGUGGGGAAUAUUGCACAAUGGGCGGAAGCCUGAUGCAGCAACGCCGCGUGCGGGAUGACGGCCUUCGGGUUGUUAACCGCUUUCAGCAGGGGCGAAGCUUGUGGUGACGGUACCUGCAGAAGAAGCACCGGCUAACUACGUG